RNAcentral lists this ribosomal RNA (423 nucleotides) under uncultured bacterium. RNAcentral describes it as "bacterial SSU rRNA". It matches the Rfam family "Bacterial small subunit ribosomal RNA", at positions 362 to 776 of the family's 1533-position model. The record is from RNAcentral.
UAUUCCGCAAUGGAGGAAAGUCUGACGGAGCAACGCCGCGGGAGUGAGGAAGGCUUUCGGGUCGUAAAACUCUGUUGUUAGGGAGGAACAAGUGCUAGUUGAAUGAGCUGGCACCUUGACGGUACCUAACCAGAAAGCCACGGCUAACUACGUGCCAGCAGCCGCGGUAAUACGUAGGUGGCAAGCGGUAUCCGGAAUUAUUGGGCGUAAAGCGCGCGCAGGUGGUUUCUUAAGUCUGAUGUGAAAGCCCACGGCUCAACCGUGGAGGGUCAUUGGAAACUGGGAGACUUGAGUGCAGAAGAGGAGAGUGGAAUUCCAUGUGUAGCGGUGAAAUGCGUAGAGAUAUGGAGGAACACCAGUGGCGAAGGCGACUUUCUGGUCUGUAACUGACACUGAGGCGCGAAAGCGUGGGGAGCAAACAGG